Oryza sativa Japonica Group (Japanese rice) is the source of this 1648-nucleotide RNA transcript. RefSeq lists it as uncharacterized. Lineage: Eukaryota; Viridiplantae; Streptophyta; Magnoliopsida; Poales; Poaceae. The record is from RefSeq and is a predicted model, not a curated record.
CUCACUGACAUGUGGGGCCUCGUCGACGCCAAGCUAAUCCGCGUCUCCACCGCGAUGCACCGCUUCGCCUCCGCCUCCUCCCUCCCGCCGCCGGCGCCGGCGACGGCGGCGGCCGCGGCGGCGCAGGCUGCGGCUCUCAGGUUCGGCUCCGCCGCCACCACUCGUGUCCCCCGAGCGCUAGCCCUGACCGCCUCCACUUGCCCAUGGCACCGCCGACACCUCUGCUCCUCCUCCUCCUCCUCCUCGUCGGCGGCGGCUGCGGCUGCUACGGCGGCGGCGGUGGAGGAGGCGCGGCAGGGGCGGAAGCAGCUGGGCGCGACGACGCAGCUCUACGAGUACCUCCUCGCCAACGUCCGCGAGCACCCGGUUCUCAAGGAGCUUCGUGAGGAGACGGCGGCCAUGAGAGGGAGCCAAAUGCAGGUUUCACCUGCGCAGGCUCAGCUUCUAGCAAUGCUUGCGCAAAUUCUUGGGGCUCAACGAUGCAUUGAAGUCGGAGUCUAUACAGGAUAUUCGUCGUUAGCUGUAGCACUAGCUCUUCCUGAAUCAGGUCGUUUGGUUGCUUGUGAGAGGGAUGAAAGAUGCCUAGAAGUUGCCAAGAAAUACUAUCAGCGCUCUGGUGUUGCACACAAGGUUGAUGUCAAACAUGCUUUAGCUGCGGAUUCCCUAAAGUUACUAAUUGAUGGUGGUGAGGUUAACAGUUAUGACUUUGCAUUCGUUGAUGCAGACAAGAGAAUGUAUGAGGAGUAUUAUGAACUUCUACUUAAGCUAGUAAGAGUUGGUGGUUUGAUUGUAAUAGACAAUGUCCUUUGGUAUGGUAGAGUUGCUGAUCCACUAGAAAUUAUCUGGCACAUUUUUCCUUAGGUGAAUGAUCGAAAGACAAUUAGUAUAAGGAACUUCAACAAGAAACUUCUGGAGGAUAAUCGUGUCAGCAUCAGCAUGGUGCCAAUCGGGGACGGGAUGACAAUUUGUCGGAAGCUAGUAGAUACCUGACUGAACAACAUACUCUUUCUAGAUAUGGAUUUUGGGCGUGUGCCUUUUUGGCUUCUCGCGACAUUAUCUUCAAAGGGUAUCUAUAGAAGGAUGCAGGUAAUGAUGUUCGUGGCCUUUUGUGAUUCUGUUAAGUUUGGGAUAUGGAGGUUCUGUCUCGGAAUGAGGGGGCAACAAUACUAGUGGCUUCAUUCAGGCGGUACUUGUUACUAAUUCUUUAAGUCCGGGGUUAAAUCCCUAAGUCUGACCUUAAUUGGUUGUACUUGGCAAUGGAUUUCUUUCUUUCUUGAAGGCAUUGUCUGGAGUUCACAGAAUUUCCCUAGGUGAAAACCUAUGGUCUGAUCUUAGUUGAUUGGAACAUGACAAUGAUGACGCGUGCACGCGUCAUUUCCUCAUUGGAGGCAUUGUUUUAAAGGGAGUCCGUAUGAUAGUCUAAGUGUUGUUUUGGUGGAGAUAAGAGAUGAAGAUUACUUGUGGUUGUAGUUCGCUGUGGCACGGUUGUAAUAGUUGUGUCGCUUUUUUUCCUUUUCUUUUAUAAUAUUGAUAGGCUGUGUGCAUCCUAGCUAUGCAGAGGCCGAGGGUGGUCUUAGAAAAAUUGUAUCCUCUCGAUGUAAUUGUUUAAGAUCAAUAAAACUCUCUUUAUCUAAAAAAAGUUAACUUC